Camellia sinensis is the source of this 119-nucleotide small nucleolar RNA. RefSeq annotates it as small nucleolar RNA snoR104. The record is from RefSeq and is a predicted model, not a curated record. NCBI's taxonomy places the organism in Eukaryota, Viridiplantae, Streptophyta, Magnoliopsida, Ericales, Theaceae.
GAGGGGCAUCCACAAGCAGAGAUGUUACCUGAUGCAAUCUUCCUACAAAAAAUCUCUGUAAUUUCUUGCUUGUGGUUACUUGAGUUAGUUCUGCAAGUCCCAAAUUACAAGAUACAUGA